Molecule: ribosomal RNA, 253 nt
Filed under: uncultured bacterium
Lineage: Bacteria
Description: partial 16S ribosomal RNA
Rfam family: Bacterial small subunit ribosomal RNA
Source: RNAcentral
UACGUAGGGGCCGAGCGUUGUCCGGAAUGAUUGGGCGUAAAGCGUCCGCAGGUGGCUAUGUAAGUCUGCUGUUAAAGAGUGAGGCUCAACCUCAUAAGAGCAGUGGAAACUACAUAGCUAGAGUGCGUUCGGGGCAGAGGGAAUUCCUGGUGUAGCGGUGAAAUGCGUAGAUAUCAGGAAGAACACCGGUGGCGAAAGCGCUCUGCUAGGCCGCAACUGACACUGAGGGACGAAAGCUAGGGGAGCGAAUGGG